GCACCCGGUAGCUUAACCCGGUAGAGCACUCCACUCAUAAUGGGGUUGGUGUCGGUUCAACUCCGAUCCGGGGCU
This 75-nucleotide transfer RNA is filed under the name Protostelium mycophagum. Its description in RNAcentral is "tRNA-Met". It matches the Rfam family "tRNA". From Rfam's summary of the family: Transfer RNA (tRNA) molecules are approximately 80 nucleotides in length. Their secondary structure includes four short double-helical elements and three loops (D, anti-codon, and T loops). Further hydrogen bonds mediate the characteristic L-shaped molecular structure. tRNAs have two regions of fundamental functional importance: the anti-codon, which is responsible for specific mRNA codon recognition, and the 3' end, to which the tRNAs corresponding amino acid is attached (by aminoacyl-tRNA synthetases). tRNAs cope with the degeneracy of the genetic code in two manners: having more than one tRNA (with a specific anti-codon) for a particular amino acid; and 'wobble' base-pairing, i.e. permitting non-standard base-pairing at the 3rd anti-codon position. The record is from RNAcentral. Lineage: Eukaryota; Evosea; Variosea; Protosteliida; Protosteliaceae.